RNAcentral lists this ribosomal RNA (1013 nucleotides) under uncultured bacterium. RNAcentral describes it as "bacterial SSU rRNA". It matches the Rfam family "Bacterial small subunit ribosomal RNA", at positions 57 to 1071 of the family's 1533-position model. The record is from RNAcentral.
GCAGUCGAGGGAGAAGUUUUGUGCUUGCACAGAACAGAAACCGGCGAACGGGUGCGUAACACGUAUGCAACCUACCUAUAACUGGGGGAUAGCCCGAAGAAAUUCGGAUUAAUACCCUAUAAUAUUUACAUACCGCAUGGUAUGUAUUUUAAAACUCCGGUGGUUAUAGAUGGGCAUGCGGCUUAUUAGUUUGUUGGUGAGGUAACGGCUCACCAAGACUACGAUAAGUAGGGGGUCUGAGAGGAUGAUCCCCCACACUGGUACUGAGACACGGACCAGACUCCUACGGGAGGCAGCAGUAGGGAAUAUUGGACAAUGGACGAAAGUCUGAUCCAGCCAUGCCGCGUGCAGGAUGACGGCCCUAUGGGUUGUAAACUGCUUUUAUAUAGGAAGAAACCUUUCCACGUGUGGAAAGCUGACGGUACUAUACGAAUAAGGACCGGCUAACUCCGUGCCAGCAGCCGCGGUAAUACGGAGGGUCCAAGCGUUGUCCGGAUUUAUUGGGUUUAAAGGGUACGCAGGCGGGACUUUAAGUCAGUGGUGAAAGCCUCCAGCUUAACUGGAGAAUUGCCAUUGAAACUGAAGUUCUUGAGUAUGGAUGAGGUGGUUGGAAUAUAACAUGUAGCGGUGAAAUGCAUAGAUAUGUUAUAGAACACCAAUUGCGAAGGCAGAUCACUAAACCAUUACUGACGCUGAGGUACGAAAGCGUGGGGAGCGAACAGGAUUAGAUACCCUGGUAGUCCACGCCGUAAACGAUGUUCACUCGCUGUUGGCGAUAUACUGUCAGCGGCCAAGCGAAAGCAUUAAGUGAACCACCUGGGGAGUACGAUCGCAAGGUUGAAACUCAAAGGAAUUGACGGGGGCCCGCACAAGCGGUGGAGCAUGUGGAUUAAUUCGAUGAUACGCGAGGAACCUUACCAGGGCUUAAAUGAUAAUUGACCGUCGCCGAAAGGUGUCUUUCUUUUAGACAAGUAUCAAGGUGCUGCAUGGCUGUCGUCAGCUCGUGCCGUGAG